This 542-nucleotide ribosomal RNA is filed under the name uncultured delta proteobacterium. Its description in RNAcentral is "bacterial SSU rRNA". It matches the Rfam family "Bacterial small subunit ribosomal RNA", at positions 8 to 524 of the family's 1533-position model. The record is from RNAcentral. Lineage: Bacteria; Deltaproteobacteria.
AGAGUUUGAUUCUGGCUCAGAAUGAACGCUGGCGGCGUGCUUAACACAUGCAAGUCGAACGAGAAAGGGAUUGCUUGCAAUCCCGAGUAGAGUGGCGCACGGGUGAGUAACACGUAGAUAAUCUGCCUUCAAGCCUGGGAUAACUAUUCGAAAGGGUAGCUAAUACCGGAUAAAGUCGAUCUACACAAGUAGAUUGAUGAAAGAUUGCCUCUUCUUGAAAGCAAUUGUUUGGAGAUGAGUUUGCGUACCAUUAGCUUGUUGGUGGGGUAAAGGCCUACCAAGGCAACGAUGGUUAGCUGGUCUGAGAGGAUGAUCCGCCACACUGGCACUGGAACACGGACCAGACUCCUACGGGAGGCAGCAGUGAGGAAUAUUGCGCAAUGGGGGAAACCCUGACGCAGCGACGCCGCGUGGAUGAUGAAGGCCUUCGGGUCGUAAAAUCCUGUCAGAUGGAAAGAAAUGUAGUAUGCCUAAUACGUGUACUAUUUGACGGUACCAUCAAAGGAAGCACCGGCUAACUCCGUGCCAGCAGCCGCGGUAAU